GGCGUUAAGUUGCAGGGUAUAGACCCGAAACCCGGUGAUCUAGCCAUGGGCAGGUUGAAGGUUGGGUAACACUAACUGGAGGACCGAACCGACUAAUGUUGAAAAAUUAGCGGAUGACCUGUGGCUGGGGGUGAAAGGCCAAUCAAACCGGGAGAUAGCUGGUUCUCCCCGAAAGCUAUUUAGGUAGCGCCUCGUGAAUUCAUCUCCGGGGGUAGAGCACUGUUUCGGCUAGGGGGCCAUCCCGGCUUACCAACCCGAUGCAAACUGCGAAUACCGGAGAAUGUUAUCACGGGAGACACACGGCGGGUGCUAACGUCCGUCGUGAAGAGGGAAACAACCCAGACCGCCAGCUAAGGUCCCAAAGUCAUGGUUAAGUGGGAAACGAUGUGGGAAGGCCCAGACAGCCAGGAUGUUGGCUUAGAAGCAGCCAUCAUUUAAAGAAAGCGUAAUAGCUCACUGGUCGAGUCGGCCUGCGCGGAAGAUGUAACGGGGCUAAACCAUGCACCGAAGCUGCGGCAGCGAACGUAUCACUUAAAGCGAUUCAGCGGGUUACGAUUGACGGAGCGAAGCGACGUCAAAGCGUAUACAAAGUCGAGUCGGUUUAAGGAUACGUUCGUUGGGUAGGGGAGCGUUCUGUAAGCCUGUGAAGGUGGCCUGUGAGGGUUGCUGGAGGUAUCAGAAGUGCGAAUGCUGACAUAAGUAACGAUAAAGCGGGUGAAAAGCCCGCUCGCCGGAAGACCAAGGGUUCCUGUCCAACGUUAAUCGGGGCAGGGUGAGUCGACCCCUAAGGCGAGGCCGAAAGGCGUAGUCGAUGGGAAACGGGUUAAUAUUCCCGUACUUGGUGUUACUGCGAAGGGGGGACGGAGAAGGCUAUGUUGGCCGGGCGACGGUUGUCCCGGUUUAAGCGUGUAGGUGUGUGUUCCAGGUAAAUCCGGUUCACUUUAACACUGAGGCGUGAUGACGAGGCACUACGGUGCUGAAGCAACAAAUGCCCUGCUUCCAGGAAAAGCCUCUAAGCAUCAGGUAACAUCAAAUCGUACCCCAAACCGACACAGGUGGUCAGGUAGAGAAUACCAAGGCGCUUGAGAGAACUCGGGUGAAGGAACUAGGCAAAAUGGUGCCGUAACUUCGGGAGAAGGCACGCUGACACGUAGGUGAAGUGAUUUACUCAUGGAGCUGAAGUCAGUCGAAGAUACCAGCUGGCUGCAACUGUUUAUUAAAAACACAGCACUGUGCAAACACGAAAGUGGACGUAUACGGUGUGACGCCUGCCCGGUGCCGGAAGGUUAAUUGAUGGGGUCAGCGCAAGCGAAGCUCCUGAUCGAAGCCCCGGUAAACGGCGGCCGUAACUAUAACGGUCCUAAGGUAGCGAAAUUCCUUGUCGGGUAAGUUCCGACCUGCACGAAUGGCGUAAUGAUGGCCAGGCUGUCUCCACCCGAGACUCAGUGAAAUUGAACUCGCUGUGAAGAUGCAGUGUACCCGCGGCAAGACGGAAAGACCCCGUGAACCUUUACUAUAGCUUGACACUGAACAUUGAGCCUUGAUGUGUAGGAUAGGUGGGAGGCUUUGAAGCGUGGACGCCAGUCUGCGUGGAGCCGACCUUGAAAUACCACCCUUUAAUGUUUGAUGUUCUAACGUGGACCCGUAAUCCGGGUUGCGGACAGUGUCUGGUGGGUAGUUUGACUGGGGCGGUCUCCUCCUAAAGAGUAACGGAGGAGCACGAAGGUUGGCUAAUCCUGGUCGGACAUCAGGAGGUUAGUGCAAUGGCAUAAGCCAGCUUGACUGCGAGCGUGACGGCGCGAGCAGGUGCGAAAGCAGGUCAUAGUGAUCCGGUGGUUCUGAAUGGAAGGGCCAUCGCUCAACGGAUAAAAGGUACUCCGGGGAUAACAGGCUGAUACCGCCCAAGAGUUCAUAUCGACGGCGGUGUUUGGCACCUCGAUGUCGGCUCAUCACAUCCUGGGGCUGAAGUAGGUCCCAAGGGUAUGGCUGUUCGCCAUUUAAAGUGGUACGCGAGCUGGGUUUAGAACGUCGUGAGACAGUUCGGUCCCUAUCUGCCGUGGGCGCUGGAGAACUGAGGGGGGCUGCUCCUAGUACGAGAGGACCGGAGUGGACGCAUCACUGGUGUUCGGGUUGUCAUGCCAAUGGCACUGCCCGGUAGCUAAAUGCGGAAGAGAUAAGUGCUGAAAGCAUCUAAGCACGAAACUUGCCCCGA
Molecule: ribosomal RNA, 2212 nt
Filed under: Salmonella enterica subsp. enterica serovar Derby
Lineage: Bacteria; Pseudomonadati; Pseudomonadota; Gammaproteobacteria; Enterobacterales; Enterobacteriaceae
Description: partial 23S ribosomal RNA
Rfam family: Bacterial large subunit ribosomal RNA
Source: RNAcentral